CUUGCGACAAUGGAAAUAGACGCCCACUUUAUUGACUUGUGUUGACACGUGCUGACUCGGUCACCGCCCUCUGCACAAUGCCAGGCUCUGAAUCGCUGGUGUCUGUCCUGUCGGCCCAAGGACCGGCCUUUUCUGGAGCCAAUCCUCUCCCACCCUGGGAUGGGCGAAGGAGAAAGGAGGGGAGGUCGACAUGGUCUGCUGAAACACCCUGUUCGAGCUCGCCCGGGAGAUCGUCUGACCCACGUCCAGGCCACGCCCUGGUUCACGCGUCCCGUCUCGGAAGAAUGCCAGGCUUUGAAUCGCCGGUCUCUGUCCUGUCGACCCAAGGACUGGCCUUUUCUGGAGCCAAUCGUCUCCCACCCUGGGAUGGGCGAAGGGGAGGAGGAGGAGAAGAAGAAG
This is a long non-coding RNA of Fundulus heteroclitus (mummichog), 399 nucleotides long. RefSeq lists it as uncharacterized. The transcript is spliced from 3 exons. Lineage: Eukaryota; Metazoa; Chordata; Actinopteri; Cyprinodontiformes; Fundulidae. The record is from RefSeq and is a predicted model, not a curated record.